This 535-nucleotide long non-coding RNA is filed under the name Prunus persica (peach). RNAcentral's name for it is "long non-coding RNA (PPER_LNC007871)". Lineage: Eukaryota; Viridiplantae; Streptophyta; Magnoliopsida; Rosales; Rosaceae. The record is from RNAcentral.
AAAACAAUUAUGUUUUGAAAUUUUUGUUUUUUUAUUAAUUAUUUUCUAAAAAAUUUAAAAUGUUAAACUAUUUAAAAAAAAUAUAAAGGACCAAUAAUGUCAGAAAAAAAUAUAAAGGACCAAAGGUGAUAAUUUCGCAAACCUCAGGGACCAUUUGUGAUCAAACCCAAAAUGUUUAAAACAUUGUUUAAUCCACGUGGCGUCCUCGUUAGCAAUCUAAAGGAAAAUUUUGACGGAACUUGACGGCGGGACCAAAUUGAUGUGUGAGGUGUAACAUAAGGGACGAAUAAUGUUAGAAAAAAAAAAACAUAAAGGACUAAAGGUGAUAAUUUGAAAAACCUCAGGAACCAUUUGUGAUAAAAAUCUUUUUUUUUUUUUUUGUUAUUGUUUGGUUCAAUUCUUUUAAUAAAUUAUGUGACUUCAAUUUUAUGUUUUUUAUUCUUGAUAAAUGAAUCCAGUUACAUGUCAUCAUGCAGUAUAGCUAGUUAAAUAAAGUGACUGUAGCUAGCUAUAUAUAUGUAUGAAUGAAAGUGAC